CUUUAAUUCUUUCUUAUUUAAGCUUUUUUAACGCAAAGAUUUUUUACAGAUACAAGUAUACGAACACUGAUACAGAUACAAGUAUACGACACUGUCUGUAAAAAAAAUUAGAAUUAAAAACGAAAAUGGAUAAUAAUACACUGCAUAGUCAAAAUCUUUUAAUGUUUUGAAGUACUUAGAGAAUACUGAGAAGAUAAAAGUUCUUCUAAUUUGCAAAUUUGUAAAAUGAGCUAUAAUUUUAAAAAUGAAAAUGUAUGUAAGUAUUGCCUCGAUGAUUCUAAUAACAAUUUGAUGCGACCUUGCAACUGCACCGGCUCUAUAGGUUAUGCGCACGAGGAUUGCGUUAUAAAGUGGUUACUUACAAAAAAAAACUGGAAAUGUGAAUUGUGUCAAAAGACGAUAAAUAUAGAACCUAACGGAUUCAAGUAUCCUAACGAGUGGAACUUUCCGCCAAUAACGUUUGAUUGGAUACUUUUUGUUUACUUUUUAUCAACGGUACUGCUAUUAGCGGUGGUUAUUAAUGUUGGAGUGAUGCUUUAUAACAAAUGCACAAGUACAUAUUGUAUGAAUUAUUAUGGAUUCAUGCCUGUUGUUAUAAUAUAUUUAUCGCUUUCAUUUUGUCAUUUGAAGAUACCUUUUUUAAAAUUUAGACAGUGGGUUGAAACAAACCGAAGAUGGAAAUUAGUUGAACAAAAAAAUUGAUUUUAUUUUUUAAUUUAUAAAUGUUGUUAAAUAAAAAUUUAUAUCAUACCAGUUGUAUGAAGCAAUUUGUAUAUAUUGCGAGUUAUGUGAAUCGUUACAUUAUUUUAUUUUAGAUGUCUGUGAGCUUUAUUUGUUUUAUUUUGAAAACUGUUACAAUAGUUUCUUGUAUAUAUUUAUAUAUAUAU
Molecule: long non-coding RNA, 887 nt
Organism: Hydra vulgaris (swiftwater hydra)
Lineage: Eukaryota; Metazoa; Cnidaria; Hydrozoa; Anthoathecata; Hydridae
Source: RefSeq, a predicted model, not a curated record